Molecule: ribosomal RNA, 313 nt
Filed under: uncultured delta proteobacterium
Lineage: Bacteria; Deltaproteobacteria
Description: bacterial SSU rRNA
Rfam family: Bacterial small subunit ribosomal RNA
Source: RNAcentral
AAGCGUUGUUCGGAAUUAUUGGGCGUAAAGCGCGUGUAGGCGGUUUUUUAAGUCUGAUGUGAAAGCCCCGGGCUCAACCUGGGAAGUGCAUUGGAAACUGGGAGACUUGAAUACGGGAGAGGGCAGUGGAAUUCCUGGUGUAGGAGUGAAAUCCGUAGAUAUCAGGAGGAACACCGGUGGCGAAGGCGGCUGCCUGGACCGAUAUUGACGCUGAGACGCGAAAGCGUGGGGAGCAAACAGGAUUAGAUACCCUGGUAGUCCACGCCGUAAACGAUGAGUACUAGGUGUCGCGGGUAUUGACCCCUGCAGUGCC